Cyprinodon tularosa is the source of this 6986-nucleotide RNA transcript. RefSeq lists it as uncharacterized. The transcript is spliced from 2 exons. The record is from RefSeq and is a predicted model, not a curated record. Lineage: Eukaryota; Metazoa; Chordata; Actinopteri; Cyprinodontiformes; Cyprinodontidae.
CAAGUAGUGGUUAUUUUACUGUACUUCCUUAGUUAGUUUAGGGACUCUUAUUUUGACAUUGCUAGUUUCAGGAUAUGACAUCACAUGUUCAUCCAUCUUUGUUUAGUUCAGAUGCCAUGCUUCAGAGUUACCUGACUUUCAUCCAAAGUAAUCCUUGUGUUUGUGUGCAUAAAUGACCAAAGUAAGUAACCAAAUAUUGUUGUUUAAAUAAGUUAAGUUUAUUUUGAUGCAUAUUUUGGUAUAUUUUUCCUGUUAUCCGGUAGUUAUUUGGUAGAUUGUGCUGAACCUACCUAGAUCACCUGUUGCCUAUGCGUAUAAUGUAAUUCUAGUUCAUCUACCUCAGUUAUGUGUAUCGUAGAUGCUAAUGAUUAUUAUGGAGCUUAGUGUGAAUUUAGCAGUAACUCUACAGACAGCAUUUGAGUUAUUUUAUCUUCAUUUCUGUUGUGUUUAGGAUCACGCAGAUGCAUUGUUAAAACCCAUGUAUGAUACCACCUAAAGUUAAUACAAGAAAGUCAAGUUUAAAUCAUCCAGUCUGGCGUCCUCCUUUCUGACCUAAUCCCCAUUCAACAUCCUUCUGGGCUUAAGUAGUGCUCUGGCCGGCACUCCUCUUGAUUGUGUCCGAUGGAAAACUGAACGGUGCAACCUAAUAGUUCAAAAUACAGUCCAACCACCUGCUAUCUUCCCUACAUUAAUGGUCCUUCGAGCCGGAUGUACAUUGCACUCAAUCAAGAUGGAUAUGAAAGAUGUUGAAUUCCUUGGUGCACGCCCUCGACGCCAGACACGCCCUCCUCUCCGUUAUGAAGAUUAUGAAGUAGACUACAGGGGGCUUGGUGCUCAUUGGCAUGAGGAGAAAAAUGAAUGUGGUGACAGUACUCCUCGCCAUCUCCUUAUUCACUCACCUGGUAAGAGCACAGCCUAUGAUGCAGAGCUACAAGACAUCCAGCAGGAGAGGCGUGUGUUACAGCACAUGUUGGAGCAGUCACUGCAGUCCCAGCAGUGCAUGUCAACAGGCCUGGCAGAACUUAAAGCAGUCCGUGCAGACAUGCUACAGCUGGUAAAUACUGCACGCAGCCUACAACAACCACACGAGGCACAUGGCUUUCAUUCAGCCACAGUGGAUGAUGAUGGAGGAUGGCCACCACCACCACCGUGGUUAAGCAACACCGGAGAUGUGCCACCUUCGAGUGAAGAGCCCAUGGUUGACCGCCUCGACCGGUUAAUGAGUGAACUGCAGCUAUUAAGAAAUGAGACACUAGCAGCCAAGCAGAAUGUAGCGCCAAUAGCCCAGCCGCUGUCGGCACCACCACCUAUCCAACCCUUUAGGCCCACCUACCCCAGCAUUAGCCACGCCCCUACAGUUACCCUGCAACAGCGCCCUGCAUGGUCCAGUUUGCCCCCACCUCCACCGCAGCUCACCUCCCCACUAUAUGGCGUGCCUCUGAACCCCACUGCACACCGCCCUCCAUCACUGCAACGUCCACCACCUCCUCCGGGUCCACCAUAUGCAACUAGACAGGCGCCAACUUACUCCAGACCAUCAUACCACACCUCUAUCGUAGAAUCAGCCUAUCGUGGCCCCCGUGCUACCAUACCCAACUUCUCUCAUCGAGAUCCUGGUGAGUUUACUCAUCUCAAGAUUGCCCUCGAGAACCUGCUACCUACUGAUAGCACCGAAAUGUUUAAGUAUCAGGUCUUAGUUGACCACCUGAAGCUAGAGGAGGCCAAACUGAUAGCUGAUGCCUACAUCCAUUCUCAGACACCCUUUACAGACACAAUGAUGGCCCUCAAUGAGAAGUUCGGACAGCCUCAUCAGCUGACCAUUAAGCGGAUCGCUGAGGUGAUGGACACACCUGACAUUAGACGUGGCGAUGCAGUGGCCUUCGACCAAUUCUCACUUCAGAUACAGUCACUGGUGGGAAUGUUGAAGACACUUGGUCCUGAGGGUGAGGUGGAGCUCCUAUGUGGUACCCAUGUUGCAAGGCUGCUCAGCAAGCUGCCCCCAGAACAAAGAGCUGAUUUCCGUAGAUGCAUGUUCAGCCAGUCUAAGAGAAGUUACACUCUCUACGACCUAGCUCAGUGGCUUAAGCAUGAAGCCUGGUGUCAGGAUUUUGAUGGCCAACUAUCUUCUAGAGGGGUGAGAGCCAAGCCCAGUGCUAAGACUAGCACCAACCCAAAGAAGCCCUCUGUAACUGUGCUGCAUGGAACAUACAGUACGCCUAAGGAGGUCAAACCUACAAGUGAUAGUCAAGGCAAGGUCAAGCCAGCACCCUACUGUGCAUUCUGCGACAACCGAGAACACCAUCUGAGUCAGUGCAUGGCCAUCAGUAAGCUAAACAAAGAACAGCUAACUGACUGGAUUAAGACCAACAAGAGAUGUUGGCGCUGUGCGCGCUCACACCAGGCGGCGCAGUGCACCCUAAAGAAGACCUGCAAUCUGUGUCAAGGUCGACACCUACAGGCACUACACAACGUCAAUACAGCGACUCAGGGAGGUCCCACCCAAGCAACAGUGCCAUCUCAAGGUGGCAGCACAACCUCCACUGAGGUAUUGUACCUGGAUCGGCCAGCUGAAGGCAGCAGAGUGCUGCUGAAAGUGGUCCCAGUGUUCCUGUACCAUGGCGGCCGCACUCUGGACACCUAUGCUGUAUUAGACGACGGGUCAGAGAGAACGAUGUUGCUGCCAGCUGCCAAUGAGGCAUUGGGUCUUCAUGGAACUCCUGAGUCCUUACCUCUACGUACAAUCCGGCAGGAUGUCCAAACCCUACACGGAGCCAACGUGUCCUUCGCCAUCGCCUCCAAGGCAAGACCUAAGACCAAGUAUCAGAUCACCAAUGCCUUCACCUCUACCCGCAUCGAUCUCGCCGACCAUACUUAUCCUCUGGAACAGUUGCAGAGGAAGUAUAAGCACCUCUCAGGACUGCCUCUUCAGCCCUUCAAGAGGGUUAAGCCACUUCUGCUCAUAGGCAGUGACCACCCCCACCUCUUGACUCCUACCCAGCCAGUACGACUGGGUCCACCUGGUGGUCCAGCCGCGGUACACACCAGGUUGGGCUGGGCCUUGCAGGGCCCCUCUAGUGUCAUAAGCCAGAUCUCCAGUCCACAGCACUGCUUCUUCACUUCAGUUCCCCCUCAAGUCACUGAGUUAAUGAGGAAUGUUGAGAAGCUGUGGCAAGUCGACCUCAUACCACUCAGGGGCAGCAAAGUGGCUACCCGCUCCAAGCAAGACAACCUUGCCAUCAGCCUGCUUGAAGGAAAGACGACCCGUGAAGAAGUGGAGGGCAUCUCUCGCCUCGCCACCCCGCUGCUACGGCACAAAGACAUGCCACGCCUUCAAGCCAUUCCCGAUGCAGUCCUACCAAGCCUCAGAGGAGUCGAGAGACGACUCCAGAGAGAUCCUGAGAAGGCCACGGUGUAUCGUGCUGAGAUCGACAAGUUGAUACAGGCAGGGUCCGUUGUAAAGCUAGACCCAUCAGAAAUAACCAGGGCAGAAGAGGCAUGGUACAUUCCCCACCACCUAGUUAGCCACAAUGGCAAACACCGACUUGUAUUCAACUGCUCGUACCAGUAUCGAGGUCAGAGCCUCAACGAACACCUCCUUCCUGGGCCUACUCUCGGAGCAUCUCUGCUGGGAGUCCUCCUCAGAUUUCGGGAGCAUGAAGUGGCUGUGAGUGGAGACAUAAAGAGCAUGUUCCACCAAGUUCGCCUGCUACCUGAAGACCGGCCUCUCCUGCGCUUUGUGUGGCGCAACCUACAGCAACACGAACCCCCUGCAGUGUACGAGUGGCAGGUGCUGCCCUUCGGCACGACUUGCAGCCCGUGUUGUGCUGUGUUCGCCCUGCAGCACCACACAAGAGAGAACACCCAGCCUGGAGAUGAGGUGAGGACUUCAGUGGAACGAUGCUUCUAUGUGGACAAUUGUCUGCAGUCCCUCCCUACCACCGGGGCUGCCAGAGACCUCGUGGACAAGUUGAGAGGUCUCCUGUCCUCAGCUGGCUUUGUACUUCGUCAGUGGGCCAGCAAUAUACCCGAAGUGAUCAGCCACCUACCUGAGGACCUCAGAUCCACCAGCACUGACCUCUGGUUGGCACAUGAGAAAACGGACAGUCCUGAAUCAACAUUGGGUCUCAGCUGGCAGUUCUCCACUGACAUCCUGGGAUACAAAUGUCGCCCUAUCCAGUACGAUGAGCCCACAAUGCGCAACAUCUACAAGGUGCUCGCCAGUCAGUACGAUCCCUUGGGCUUCAUCCUGCCCUAUACUACUAGAGCCAAGAUGCUAGUGAGAUGCCUUUGGGACAAGCAGAGAGGCUGGGAUGACCCCCACUUGCCCCCACAUCUCCUCAAGCAGUGGAGAGACUGGGAAGGAGAGUUACAGUUUCUCUCUCAAGUCUGCUUCAGUCGUCCAUACCUGCCCAAGGGCACAGCUGCUGCCAUAAACGAGAGAGAGCUUCACAUCUUCUGCGAUGCAUCGGAGCUGGCCUACGGAGCAGUAGCGUACCUCAGGAUGGUCGACAGCGACGGUGUACCACACCUGGCCUUCGUCAUGGCACGAUCCAGAGUGGCCCCUAGACGUCUACAGUCCAUGCCGAGGUUAGAGCUGUGUGGUGCCCUCACUGGAGCUCAGCUCUCCAAACUCCUGAAUGAUGAGCUUACCCUGGACAUCAAGAGAACCAUGCUCUGGACAGACUCCACAACCGUGCUGGCGUGGCUGAGGUCGGAAUCCUGCCGAUUCAAAGUCUUUGUCGGCACCCGUGUUGCUGAAAUUCAAGAUCUCACUCAGCAACACACAUGGCGGUACGUCGACUCUGCCCAGAAUCCGGCCGACGAUAUUACUCGCGGUAAAAGAUUGCAGGACUUAACCCAACCCAACAGAUGGAGCCAAGGCCCUCCGUUCCUCCUCCUACCUUGUGACCAGUGGCCAGCGCAGCCUCCGGGAAUCUUGGGAGAUCCUUCCGACUCUUCAGAGCUUCGCAAAGAGACCUUCUGUGGUGCCACCUCUACAGCUGUGAGUCAGGCAGACUCAGAGCUGAACCAGUACAACACCUGGAGGGAGCUGCUGAAGGCCACAGCCCUGAAGCUUCAUGGGGCGGCUGCAGAAGAUGGAUGUGCUUCUGCAGAUGAUUACCGUCAUGCAGAGACUCACCUUCUCCGACAGGUCCAACAAGACUGCUUCCCUGACGAGCUUCGUCUCCUUAAAGCAAAGAAACCAGUCCUACGGAGCAGCCAUCUCAGUAGCCUCUCUCCGGAACUUGACGAAAGCAGUGACCUCAUCAGAGUUGGUGGUCGACUCCGCAGGUCAGAAGACCUGGAUUACACCAGUCUACACCCAGUGGUGUUAGACCCCUCACACCCAGUGACCCGCCUGCUUAUUCAGGACUUCGAUUGUCGCUUGAAACACCCUGGGCCAGAGCGCGUCUUCGCAGAGAUCCGGCGUUACUACUGGAUUCUGCGAGGCCGAGAGGCAGUACGUCGCUUCCAGAAAACGUGUACAGACUGCCGCCGCUGGAAGGCGAAGCCUGCCGUCCCUCAAAUGGCUGAUCUGCCCUUAGCCCGCCUACGCCUGUUUAAACCUGCCUUCCACUCUACAGGCAUAGACUGCUUUGGGCCGUUUGAAGUCAAGGUGGGAAGGCGUCUGGAGAAGAGGUGGGGGAUCAUAUUCAAAUGUCUAACCGUCAGAGCGGUUCACCUUGACCUACUUAACUCCAUCGAUGGCGACUCCUUUCUCAUGGCCCUAAGAAGGUUUAUCGCCCGUAGAGGGACCCCUGCUGAGAUCUAUUCAGACCAGGGGACUAACUUCAAAGCUGGUGACAAAGAGCUACGAGAGGCAUUCGCAGCCAUGUCACCUGACCUCCAGUCCCUCCUGGCACCUUACAGAAUCAACUUCCACUUCAAUCCUCCCGCUGCUCCACACUUCGGAGGCGUGUGGGAGCGAGAGAUUCGCUCAGUGAAGAGCGCCUUGUACACCACUGUAGGUGCUCAGCCCCUUCAGGAGGAGGUCCUUCGGACAGUCCUCAUCGAAGUGGAGGCGAUCCUGAACUCCAAACCCUUGGGGUAUGUUCCCUCCGACGUUAGUGAUCCAGACCCGGUCACUCCCAAUUGCCUGCUGAUGGGGCGGUCCGAUGGGUCCCUCCCACAAGUCGUCUACCCCAGAGAUGAGCUCCUCAGCCAGCGGAGGUGGAAGCAUGCUCAGGUGAUGACCGACCACUUUUGGGCUCGCUUCAUCAGACUGUACUUACCUGGGCUGCAGCUCAGACAGAAGUGGCAGUCCUCCCCGGCCGACGUCACAGAAGGCUCUGUGGCAAUGAUCGUGGACCCCCAGCACCCUAGGGCCAUGUGGCCUAUUGGGCGCAUCGUAAAGGUCCACCCCAGUCUGGAUGGUCGCAUCCGGUCCGCGGAUGUGAAGGUCAGAGACCGCACCUACACGCGACCUGUCGCCCGGCUGGUGAUUCUGCCAGCCCUUCCAAAGGGUGAAGAGAGUCAUCCGAUUUAAUUAGCCUUUUCUUUGUUUCAAAUGUACUACAUACAUUUGGGGGCGGCUGUAGAAAAGGCUAUGGACAUUACAGACUUUUAGUCUGACAAGUAGUGGUUAUUUUACUGUACUUCCUUAGUUAGUUUAGGGACUCUUAUUUUGACAUUGCUAGUUUCAGGAUAUGACAUCACAUGUUCAUCCAUCUUUGUUUAGUUCAGAUGCCAUGCUUCAGAGUUACCUGACUUUCAUCCAAAGUAAUCCUUGUGUUUGUGUGCAUAAAUGACCAAAGAUCACGCAGAUGCAUUGUUAAAACCCAUGUAUGAUACCACCUAAAGUUAAUACAAGAAAGUCAAGUUUAAAUCAUCCAGUCUGGCGUCCUCCUUUCUGACCUAAUCCCCAUUCAACAUCCUUCUGGGCUUAAGUAGUGCUCUGGCCGGCACUCCUCUUGAUUGUGUCCGAUGGAAAACUGAACGGUGCAACCUAAUAGUUCAAAAUACAGUCCAACCACCUGCUAUCUUCC